AAAGAAUACACCCGUCCCCGGGAAAAACGGAGGUUUAUUGGUCUGGGAGAGAGCCGUUAAGAGCGUCCCCCCUCUGUAUUUGAUGUGGUAGAAUCCCAGCCUGACCAUUUCUGACAUGUGUGAGGGGGGAACUCUGCCCCGACAAUAACUCGCUCUGUCUCCCCCACAUUUCACCGAGUUCUGAUUAUUCCUAGGCACACGAGACUGGAGUUAACUGGAAUCUCUUCAGACCUGAAGAGGCGCUCAGGGGCGAAUUUAAAGUUGUAGUAAUCCAGGCUCCUCGCCGCUUGCAAAGUCAUGCCUUCUACCAGUGAGGUCCACCAGGGAGUUUUUGGUUCUAACAAGUCUAUAUUUAAGCCAUAUUUUGUACAAAAAUUUGGAAUUAUAUGGUCUAAGAAUCCCCUGUGCACCUUUACCUCAUCAUAUACCAGAUAGGCAUGCCAACCAAAACACGUACAUACACCUUCUAGAUCCAACAGAUCUUUAUCUUUUAAGAUCAUCCAUUCUCUGAUCCAAGUUACAGCUGCCGCUGCAUGAUACAACUCCAAAUCAGGCAAAGCCAAGCCCCCCCUUCAUUUCUGUCUAUAAUAAUUUUAUGCUUUAUUCUGGGCUUUUUCCCUUUCCAUAUGAAUUUUGCUAUGUCUUUCCUCCAAUUUUUAAAACAAUCCAUACCUCCCAGAAUAGGUAUCAUUUGGAAUAGAAAAAUCAUUCUAGGUAAGAUGUUCAUUUUUACUACCAAUAUUUUGCCCCAGAAGGAGAGAUGAAGCUUGCUCCAGAUUUCUAAAUUUAUUUUCACGUCAUUCCACAUUUUGACAUAAUUGUCCUGAAACAGAUUAAUGUGUUUUGAUGUUAAUCAGAUGCCUAGGUAUUUCACUUUUUUCUUUAUUUCCAAUCCCCUAGUUUCCUGUAAUUCGUUUUGUUCAUCUAUUCCCAUGUUCUUGACUAACAAGUUUGUUUCCUUAUAAUUGAUUUUAAAGCCAGCUAAUUGUCCAAAUUCGUUAAUAGAUUCUAUUGCUUUUGGGAUACAAUCCUUAGGGUUUUCUGUUAUUAGUAAAUCACCUGCAAGAAGAAGAAAGAAAGUUUGGAUUUGAUAUCCCGCUUUAUCACUACCUGAAGGAGUCUCAAAGCAGCUGACAUUCUCCUUUCCCUUCCUCCCCCACAACAAACACUCUGUGAGGUGAGUGGGGCUGAGAGACUUCAGAGAAGUGUGACUGGCCCAAGGUUACCCAGCAGCUGCAGGUGGAAGAGCGGAGACAUGAACUGCAAAAGCUCUUACUUUAUAAUUUCCCCCACUACAAUCCCUUUUAUUAUUUCCUCUUUUCUGAUCUUAUUCAUUAAAAUUUCCAAUGCCAAAAUAAAUAAUAAUGGGGACAGAGGGCAUCCCUAUCUUGUUCCUUUUGAAAUUUCAAUAUUUCCUGAGAUCAUACCAUUUAUUAUCAGUCUAGCCCUUUGUUUAUGAUAUAUUGCUUCAAUACAUUUUUCAAUUUUUUCUCCCAUACCCAUUAAAUUAAUCUGUUUCUUUAGGAAAUACCAGGAUGCAUUAUCAAAAGCUUUUUCUGCGUCUACGAACAUCAGAGCCGCUAUUUAACAAUUCUAAAUUCAAGAUAUUCUAAUAUGUUAAUAAUGUUCCUGAUGUUAUUCUGUAUUUGUUUUCCUGGUAAGUAGCUGGCCUGAUUUUCAUGAAUUAUAUCUUUCAAUAUAUGUUUGAGUCUUUCUGCCAAUAUGUCAGCAAAUAACUUAUAGUCACAAUUUAAUAGAGAUAUUGAAUUAUACCCACUUUUCUCUUUUCCAUCUCAUUGCAGUGAGGCUAUAGAAGUCCUGAAGACAGUAAUGGACUGGAUGCGGGUAAACAAACUGAAUAUUAAUUCAGACAAGACAAAUGUUAGUAGAGCUAACCUUGGAACAGAGGUUCAACCAGUAUUGGGUGGGAAUAACACUUCCCUUGCAAAUGCAGAUUUGUAGCAUGGGGAUUUCGCUGAACUUGGAUAUUUAGGUAUCUACUGUGGCCAACUAUUGUAUUUAUUGUUGGAAAAUUCUUUUUAAAAAUUGUGCUUAUUAUUUCAACGUACCUUGUUAGCUGCCAUGGGCUCAUUGAGGAAAGGUGGGGUAUAAAUGUUUUAAAUACAGUACAUAAAUAAAUAAAUAGCAGAAUCCUUA
Molecule: long non-coding RNA, 2157 nt
Organism: Podarcis raffonei (Aeolian wall lizard)
Lineage: Eukaryota; Metazoa; Chordata; Lepidosauria; Squamata; Lacertidae
Exons: 2
Source: RefSeq, a predicted model, not a curated record